AGCAAUCCCCCGGUAGGGUGGCGAACGGGUGAGUAAGACAUGGGAAUCUGUCCCGGAGAUGGGGAUAUCCUUCCGAAAGGAGGGUUAAUACCGAAUACCGUCCGGUGGACGAGAGUCCAUCGGGGAAAGGGAGGCCUCUGGCAACAUGCUUCCGCUCCGGGAGGAGCCCAUGGCCCAUCAGCUAGUUGGGAGGGUAACGGCCUACCAAGGCGAAGACGGGUAGCUGGUCUGAGAGGACGAUCAGCCACACUGGCACUGAGACACGGGCCAGACUCCUACGGGAGGCAGCAGUGAGGAAUUUUGCGCAAUGGGGGCAACCCUGACGCAGCAACGCCGCGUGUGGGAAGAAGGCUUUCGGGUUGUAAACCACUUUUGUAAGGGACGAAGUCCCUUCGGCAAAUAACCGAGGGGGAUGACGGUACCUUGCGAAUAAGCCACGGCUAACUCUGUGCCAGCAGCCGCGGUAAGACAGGGGUGGCAAGCGUUGUUCGGAGUAACUGGGCGUAAAGGGUCUGUAGGUGGUUUUUCAAGUCUUUGGUAAAACGCCGUGGCUCAACCAUGGUUUGGCCAAGGAGACUGGGAGACUCGAGGCUGGGAGAGGGAAGCGGAAUUUCUGGUGUAGCGGUGAAAUGCGUAGAGAUCAGAAAGAAGGCCGGUGGCGAAGGCGGCUUCCUGGAACAGACCUGACACUGAGAGACGAAAGCGUGGGGAGCAAACAGGAUUAGAUACCCUGGUAGUCCACGCCCUAAACGAUGGGAACUAAGUGUGGGGAGCAAUCCCCGUGCCGCAGCUAACGCAAUAAGUUCCCCGCCUGGGGAGUACGGCCGCAAGGUUGAAACUCAAAAGGAAUUGACGGGGGGCCCGCACAAAGCGGGUGGGUGCAUGUGGGUUUAAUUUCGACG
RNAcentral lists this ribosomal RNA (902 nucleotides) under bacterium enrichment culture. RNAcentral's name for it is "bacterial SSU rRNA". It matches the Rfam family "Bacterial small subunit ribosomal RNA", at positions 78 to 956 of the family's 1533-position model. The record is from RNAcentral.